AGAGUUUGAUCGUGGCUCAGAAUCAACGCUGGCGGCGUGCCUCAGACAUGCAAGUCGAACGAUUAAAGCUCCCUUCGGGGAGUGCAUAAAGUGGCGCACGGGUGAGUAACACGUAAGUAAUCUACCUUCGAGUGGGGAAUAACAGUCGGAAACGGCUGCUAAUACCGCAUAAUGCAGCGGCAUCGCAAGAUGACAGUUGUUAAAGAUUUAUCGCUUGAAGAGGAGCUUGCGGCAGAUUAGCUAGUUGGUAAGGUAAUGGCUUACCAAGGCUACGAUCUGUAACCGGUCUAAGAGGACGGUCGGUCACACUGACACUGAAUAACGGGUCAGACUCCUACGGGAGGCAGCAGUCGGGAAUUUUGGGCAAUGGGGGAAACCCUGACCCAGCAACGCCGCGUGAAGGAUGAAGUAUUUCGGUAUGUAAACUUCGAAAGAAUAGGAAGAAUUAAUGACGGUACUAUUUAUAAGGUCCGGCUAACUACGUGCCAGCAGCCGCCGCCGUAAC
This 505-nucleotide ribosomal RNA is filed under the name uncultured Acidobacteriota bacterium. Its description in RNAcentral is "bacterial SSU rRNA". It matches the Rfam family "Bacterial small subunit ribosomal RNA", at positions 8 to 524 of the family's 1533-position model. The record is from RNAcentral. Lineage: Bacteria; Pseudomonadati; Acidobacteriota.